RNAcentral lists this ribosomal RNA (234 nucleotides) under uncultured bacterium. Its description in RNAcentral is "partial 16S ribosomal RNA". It matches the Rfam family "Bacterial small subunit ribosomal RNA", at positions 96 to 334 of the family's 1533-position model. The record is from RNAcentral.
UGGCGGACGGGUGAGUAAUGUCUGGGAAACUGCCUGAUGGAGGGGGAUAACUACUGGAAACGGUAGCUAAUACCGCAUAACGUCGCAAGACCAAAGAGGGGGACCUUCGGGCCUCUGCCAUCGGAUGUGCCCAGAUGGGAUUAGCUAGUAGGUGGGGUAAAGGCUCACCUAGGCGACGAUCCCUAGCUGGUCUGAGAGGAUGACCAGCCACACUGGAACUGAGACACGGUCCAG